This is a non-coding RNA of Saimiri boliviensis boliviensis (Bolivian squirrel monkey), 2339 nucleotides long. NCBI's taxonomy places the organism in Eukaryota, Metazoa, Chordata, Mammalia, Primates, Cebidae. The record is from RefSeq and is a predicted model, not a curated record.
ACUUGCUCGCUCCACACUCCGCCGCCAUAAGCUGCCGUCAUGGUGAAGCUCACGAAGGCGGGUAAAAAUCAAGGUGACCCCAAGAAAAUGGCUCCUCCUCCAAAGGAGGUAGAAGAAGAUAGUGAAGAUGAGGAAAUGUCAGAAGAUGAAGAAGAUGAUAGCAGUGGGGAAGAGGUUGUCAUACCUCAGAAGAGAGGCAAGGAGGCUGCUGCAACCCCAGCAAAGAAAGUGGUAGUUGCCCCAACAAAAAAGGGUUGCAGUUGCCCCACCGGCUAAGAAAGCAGCUGUCGCUCCAGGCAAAAAGGCAGCAGCAACACCUGCCAAGAAGACAGUUACACUGGCCAAAGCAGUUGCCACACCUGGCAAAGCAUUGGUAGCAACUCCUGGUAAAAAGGGUGCUGCCAUUCCAGCCAAGGGGGCAAAGAAUGGCAAGAAUGCCAAGAAGGAAGACAGUGAUGAAGAGGAGGAGGAUGACGAGGAUGAGGAUGAGGAUGAGGAUGAAUUUGAACCAGCAGUGGUGAAAGCAGCAGCUGCUGCCCCUGCCUCAGAGGAUGAGGACGAUGAGGAGGAGGAGGAGGAUGAAGAUGAUGAUGAAGAUAACUCUGAAGAAGAAGCUAUGGAGACUACGCCAGCCGAAGGAAAGAAAGCUGCAAAAGCUGUUCCUGUUCCUGUGAAAGCCAAGAAUGUAGCUGAGGAUGAAGAUGAAGAGGAUGAGGAUGAGGAUGAUGAUGAUGAUGAGGAGGAGGAGGAGGAGGAUGAAGAUGAUGAGGAGGAGGAGGAAGAAGAGGAAGAAGAGCCUGUCAAAGAAGCAUCUGGAAAACGAAAGAAGGAUAUGACCAAACAGAAAGCAGCUCCUGAAGCCAAGAAACAGAAAGUGGUCCCAUAUAAAUCUUAGAAUUAUUAUUGCUUUGGGUAGUGUGAACACCUAAACUUUAACAAAUCUGCUCCCGAAUUAAAAACUGGUAUCAGCGAUGUUUUUGCUGAAAACGAUCUUGCUGUUGUGGAUGUCAGAAUUGGUAUGACUAGGAAAUUUGGUUAUGUGGAUUUUGAAUCUGCUGAAGACCUGGAAAAAGCCUUGGAACUUACUGGUUUGAAAGUCUUUGGCAAUGAAAUUAAACUAGAGAAACCAAAAGGCAAAGACAGUAAGAAAGAACGAGAUGCGAGAACACUUUUGGCUAAAAAUCUCCCUUACAAAGUCACUCAGGAUGAAUUAAAAGAAGUGUUUGAAGAUGCCGUGGAGAUCAGAUUAGUCAGCAAGGAUGGGAAAAGUAAAGGGAUUGCUUAUAUUGAAUUUAAGACAGAAGCUGAUGCAGAGAAAACCUUUGAAGAAAAGCAGGGAACAGAGAUCGAUGGGCGAUCUAUUUCCCUGUAUUAUACUGGAGAGAAAGGUCAAAAUCAAGACUAUAGAGGUGGAAAGAAUAGCACUUGGAGUGGUGAAUCAAAAACUCUGAUUUUAAGCAAUCUCUCCUAUAGUGCAACAGAAGAAACUCUUCAGGAAGUAUUUGGGUACUUUUAUUAAAGUACCCCAGAACCAAAAUGGCAAAUCUAAACGGUAUGCAUUUAUAGAGUUUGCUUCAUUUGAAGAUGCUAAAGAAGCUUUAAAUUCCUGUAAUAAAAGGGAAAUUAAGGGCAGAGCCAUCAGGCUGGAGUUGCAAGGACCCAGGGAAUCACCUAAUGCCAGAAGCCAGCCAUCCAAAACGCUGUUUGUCAAAGGCCUGUCUGAGGAUACCACUGAAGAGACAUUAAAGGAGUCAUCUGACGGCUCUGUUCGGGCAGGGACAGUCACUGACCGGGAAACUGGGUCCUCCAAAGGGUUUGGCUUUGUAGACUUCAACAGUGAGGAGGAUGCCAAAGCUGCCAAGGAGGCCAUGGAAGAUGAUGAAAUUGAUGGAAAUAAAGUUACCUUGGACUGGGCCAAACCUAAGGGUGAAGGUGGCUUCGGGGGUCGUGGUGGAGGCAGAGGUGGCUUUGGAGGCAGAGGUGGUGGCAGAGGAGGCCGAGGAGGAUUUGGUGGCAGAGGCCGGGGAGGCUUUGGAGGGCGAGGUGGCUUCCGAGGAGGCAGAGGAGGAGGAGGUGACCACAAGCCACAAGGAAAGAAGACGAAGUUUGAAUAGCUUCUGUUCCUCUGCUUUCCCUUUUCCAUUUGAAAGAAAGGACUCUGGGGUUUUUACUGUUACCUGAUCAAUGACAGAGCCUUCUGAGGACAUUCUAAGACAGUAUACAGUCCUGUGGUCUCCUUGGAAAUCGUAUAGAUACCAUUUCAAGGGCAAUACCUUGUUGGUUUUGACUGGAUAUUCGUAUAAACUUUUUAAAGAGUUGAGUGAUAGAGCUAAUCCUUA